AUUAGGGUCACACAAUCAAUUACCUCCUGAAUGUAUUAUCUCUAUUUCUAAUAUCUGAAUACACAAGAAAACUACAAUCUCCUCCUUCACCUUAUCGGUCUCUUCCUUACAACAAUUCAGUCAUACCAAUAACUGCUAUUUCUACUAAUAUAUUCACCCUCAUAAUCUCCAACUGUAAUACUGCACCCUUAUAGCUUUCAGCACACAAUUACCCUCGUUCCAAUCACUGGAAUUCUUCACACAGAACUGCCAUUCACAUUACAAUAUUUCACACAAACACAGACUCAUUCUUUUUGCUAAACUACAAUCAGAUUUGAGCAUUCAAUCUUUCUUCUUCUCAAAUAAUACCAAUCACCUUUCCAUUCCAUAAUUCACUUCACAAUAUUCAGAAACUCUCAAUCCUCUUAUUCAAAGAAAAUAACAAACAAAAGAAAAGAGGUAGCACCAAGCUUACUCCGGCUCACAACUCUCACAAUCUGGCCCCUAGCUCAGUAUUAUCACAGUCUGGCCUUUUCUUCCCUUCUCCCAUCCUCCUUAUACUACCCCGAGAUAUCAACUCCUAUACUACAUAUGAUAACUACUUUUCUUGACUAUUCAUCCAUUCUACCUGCUGAACGACCUUUUCAGCAGUUAUCUAUCCUUGUUUAUACUAUACACUAGGUAUCUACAUUCUGAAAAUAACU
RNAcentral lists this long non-coding RNA (683 nucleotides) under Physcomitrium patens. RNAcentral describes it as "long non-coding RNA (PPAT_LNC001762)". The record is from RNAcentral. Lineage: Eukaryota; Viridiplantae; Streptophyta; Bryopsida; Funariales; Funariaceae.